GGGUUGUGAGGUUAAGCGACUAAGCGUACACGGUGGAUGCCCUGGCAGUCAGAGGCGAUGAAGGGCGUGCUAAUCUGCGAUAAGCGCCGGUAAGGUGAUAUGAACCGUUAUAACCGGCGAUACCCGAAUGGGGAAACCCAGUGUGAUUCGUCACACUAUCAUUAACUGAAUCCAUAGGUUAAUGAGGCGAACCGGGGGAACUGAAACAUCUAAGUACCCCGAGGAAAAGAAAUCAACCGAGAUUCCCCCAGUAGCGGCGAGCGAACGGGGAGGAGCCCAGAGCCUGAAUCAGCAUGUGUGUUAGUGGAAGCGUCUGGAAAGGCGCGCGAUACAGGGUGACAGCCCCGUACACAAAAGCGCAUGUGCUGUGAGCUCGAUGAGUAGGGCGGGACACGUGGUAUCCUGUCUGAAUAUGGGGGGACCAUCCUCCAAGGCUAAAUACUCCUGACUGACCGAUAGUGAACCAGUACCGUGAGGGAAAGGCGAAAAGAACCCCGGCGAGGGGAGUGAAAAAGAACCUGAAACCGUGUACGUACAAGCAGUGGGAGCCCCACCACCAAAGCAUUCUCUGGUGUUGAAGGCCCUGCAAAGCAGCAUCGCGGUGGCGGAGCGUCGUUUGCGACGCCCAACACACAAAACAAGCGGUGAAUGCUUUGGGGUGGGGUGACUGCGUACCUUUUGUAUAAUGGGUCAGCGACUUAUAUUCUGUAGCAAGGUUAACCGAAUAGGGGAGCCGGAGGGAAACCGAGUCUUAAUUGGGCGUUAAGUUGCAGGGUAUAGACCCGAAACCCGGUGAUCUAGCCAUGGGCAGGUUGAAGGUUGGGUAACACUAACUGGAGGACCGAACCGACUAAUGUUGAAAAAUUAGCGGAUGACCUGUGGCUGGGGGUGAAAGGCCAAUCAAACCGGGAGAUAGCUGGUUCUCCCCGAAAGCUAUUUAGGUAGCGCCUCGUGAAUUCAUCUCCGGGGGUAGAGCACUGUUUCGGCUAGGGGGCCAUCCCGGCUUACCAACCCGAUGCAAACUGCGAAUACCGGAGAAUGUUAUCACGGGAGACACACGGCGGGUGCUAACGUCCGUCGUGAAGAGGGAAACAACCCAGACCGCCAGCUAAGGUCCCAAAGUCAUGGUUAAGUGGGAAACGAUGUGGGAAGGCCCAGACAGCCAGGAUGUUGGCUUAGAAGCAGCCAUCAUUUAAAGAAAGCGUAAUAGCUCACUGGUCGAGUCGGCCUGCGCGGAAGAUGUAACGGGGCUAAACCAUGCACCGAAGCUGCGGCAGCGANUGCUGGAGGUAUCAGAAGUGCGAAUGCUGACAUAAGUAACGAUAAAGCGGGUGAAAAGCCCGCUCGCCGGAAGACCAAGGGUUCCUGUCCAACGUUAAUCGGGGCAGGGUGAGUCGACCCCUAAGGCGAGGCCGAAAGGCGUAGUCGAUGGGAAACGGGUUAAUAUUCCCGUACUUGGUGUUACUGCGAAGGGGGGACGGAGAAGGCUAUGUUGGCCGGGCGACGGUUGUCCCGGUUUAAGCGUGUAGGUGUGUGUUCCAGGUAAAUCCGGUUCACUUUAACACUGAGGCGUGACGACGAGGCACUACGGUGCUGAAGCAACAAAUGCCCUGCUUCCAGGAAAAGCCUCUAAGCAUCAGGUAACACGAAAUCGUACCCCAAACCGACACAGGUGGUCAGGUAGAGAAUACCAAGGCGCUUGAGAGAACUCGGGUGAAGGAACUAGGCAAAAUGGUGCCGUAACUUCGGGAGAAGGCACGCUGACACGUAGGUGAAGUGAUUUACUCAUGGAGCUGAAGUCAGUCGAAGAUACCAGCUGGCUGCAACUGUUUAUUAAAAACACAGCACUGUGCAAACACGAAAGUGGACGUAUACGGUGUGACGCCUGCCCGGUGCCGGAAGGUUAAUUGAUGGGGUCAGCGUAAGCGAAGCUCCUGAUCGAAGCCCCGGUAAACGGCGGCCGUAACUAUAACGGUCCUAAGGUAGCGAAAUUCCUUGUCGGGUAAGUUCCGACCUGCACGAAUGGCGUAAUGAUGGCCAGGCUGUCUCCACCCGAGACUCAGUGAAAUUGAACUCGCUGUGAAGAUGCAGUGUACCCGCGGCAAGACGGAAAGACCCCGUGAACCUUUACUAUAGCUUGACACUGAACAUUGAGCCUUGAUGUGUAGGAUAGGUGGGAGGCUUUGAAGUGUGGACGCCAGUCUGCAUGGAGCCGACCUUGAAAUACCACCCUUUAAUGUUUGAUGUUCUAACGUGGACCCGUAAUCCGGGUUGCGGACAGUGUCUGGUGGGUAGUUUGACUGGGGCGGUCUCCUCCUAAAGAGUAACGGAGGAGCACGAAGGUUGGCUAAUCCUGGUCGGACAUCAGGAGGUUAGUGCAAUGGCAUAAGCCAGCUUGACUGCGAGCGUGACGGCGCGAGCAGGUGCGAAAGCAGGUCAUAGUGAUCCGGUGGUUCUGAAUGGAAGGGCCAUCGCUCAACGGAUAAAAGGUACUCCGGGGAUAACAGGCUGAUACCGCCCAAGAGUUCAUAUCGACGGCGGUGUUUGGCACCUCGAUGUCGGCUCAUCACAUCCUGGGGCUGAAGUAGGUCCCAAGGGUAUGGCUGUUCGCCAUUUAAAGUGGUACGCGAGCUGGGUUUAGAACGUCGUGAGACAGUUCGGUCCCUAUCUGCCGUGGGCGCUGGAGAACUGAGGGGGGCUGCUCCUAGUACGAGAGGACCGGAGUGGACGCAUCACUGGUGUUCGGGUUGUCAUGCCAAUGGCACUGCCCGGUAGCUAAAUGCGGAAGAGAUAAGUGCUGAAAGCAUCUAAGCACGAAACUUGCCCCGAGAUGAGUUCUCCCUGAGACUUAGAGUCUCCUGAAGGAACGUUGAAGACGACGACGUUGAUAGGCCGGGUGUGUAAGCGCAGCGAUGCGUUGAGCUAACCGGUACUAAUGAACCGUGAGGCUUAACCUUACAACGCCGAAG
RNAcentral lists this ribosomal RNA (2969 nucleotides) under Salmonella enterica subsp. enterica serovar Typhimurium. RNAcentral describes it as "23S ribosomal RNA". It matches the Rfam family "Bacterial large subunit ribosomal RNA". Lineage: Bacteria; Pseudomonadati; Pseudomonadota; Gammaproteobacteria; Enterobacterales; Enterobacteriaceae. The record is from RNAcentral.